UACGUAGGUGGCAAGCGUUAUCCGGAAUUACUGGGCGUAAAGCGCGCGUAGGCGGUUUUUUAAGUCUGAUGUGAAAGUCCACGGCUUAACCGGGGAGGGUCAUUGGAAACUGGAGAACUUGAGUGCAGAAGAGGAAGGUGGAAUUCCCGGUGUAGCGGUGAAAUGCGUAGAGAUAGGGAGGAACACCAGUGGCGAAGGCGGCCGUCUGGUCUGUAACUGACGCUGAGGGGCGAAAGCGUGGGGAGCAAACAGG
Molecule: ribosomal RNA, 253 nt
Filed under: uncultured bacterium
Lineage: Bacteria
Description: partial 16S ribosomal RNA
Rfam family: Bacterial small subunit ribosomal RNA
Source: RNAcentral